AUCCAACUGACGAGUCCCAAAUAGGACGAAACACGCGUCCUGAAU
This 45-nucleotide non-coding RNA is filed under the name Schistosoma mansoni. Lineage: Eukaryota; Metazoa; Platyhelminthes; Trematoda; Strigeidida; Schistosomatidae. The record is from RNAcentral.